AUGUUUCCCUCUAGAUUUUCUUCAAGUUGGAUCUUGGGGGAGGCUGCCUCCUGGAGUCUGAGAAUCGUCGUCCCGGGUUAUGAUUGCCACCUAGCGGCCAGUGCGAGAAGCGCAUGGCUGUGCCUUUGGUCUGACUUCCUUCUAACAGUGCUAUGCAAAACAGAAGUGAGCUGGCUUCCUACCUACCCGAAACGUCUGAAUGGGAUGCGACGAGAAAGUUCGCCGGUCAGGUCCGGAGGAUGUCACGGGUCACGCAUCCGCUGCACCUGUGCCCGCAGCCUGGGGCGUCCUGGGGCGGCUUACAGCCCAGCUGCCGCCAACCGCAGCCAUCAGUCCUCUCCGGGAAUGUCCUCAGCUGAAGAGAACCGUGCAGGGCAAGGCCGUGCCCCCUUUCUGAGCAGCCACAGCCCUGAUUGGUCAGGGGGGUUGUAAAGGCCCAAUCUCUUCACCUGAAAUGAGGGUAAGUGGGGAAGCCUGACGCUGGGGCCAGUCUCGGAACCGGAACCGGGUAGGGAGCCGCCUCUGAGAAGCUUCUCUUCGGCUAUGCUUCACCUAGGAGGGGGCCCCGGAGAGCAGAUGCCAGGAUGGGGUUCUGGACCUGGGCCGGGGGCUGCUGGCCGGCGGCGAGGACUCCGGGCCUGUGUCCCUGGCGCAAGGUAACAAUGAAGCGGGCAAAGUGUCACCGGGGCCGUGUUGUGGUGGAUGGGGAUUCACCCGUGGGGUCCACGCAUCAGGAGUGGGGAGCACACGGAGGGAGGGGAAGCCACAAGGGCAGUGAGAUGCUGUGGCUGUCGCUAAGCACAGUUAAGUUCUGGGGGAAGAGAAAAGGCUGAGUUGAGUCCAGGGCAGUUAAAGGCUCCCUGUGAGAGGUGGCGCUGCCCCGUUGGGAGCAGGGAAGAGGCGCUCCCCGCCUGGUUGUCACAGCAGAGAGAGCGGAGGACCAGGUCCCGGACCGUGUCACGCAGCAGCGGGGCCCAGGCUGACCCGGGCGAACGCAGGUCGGCCAUGAGCUCAGGGCCCUGCCGGAAGGCAGGUAGGUACCUCGGCGUCAGCCCCAACGCCCCCUCUGGCCGUGACACUGUGCCAGGCCUGCCGAGAGCUGAAGGAAGCUGGGCCCAAGGGCCCCCUAACCCCCUGUGCGUAAGAUGGCGCCUGGACGCCGGGAGUGCUGGGUCAGGGGGACUGGAACCUCAUACCAGCCGGGGGAGAUUUUCCUGAUUGGGGAGCACUCUUCCAGGUGGCAAGUGUAAGCCCCCAGCCAGGCCCCUGCAGAUGGUGCCCACCUGCUGCCCGGACGGCUCCCGGCAGAAAUGCCCGAGUUGCCCUGGCAGGCGGUGGACGGAGGGUCAUGAGGGGCAAGCGCAGACACGGUAGGGGAGGGCGCUACGUCGGGCAGAUAGUCCAGCUGGUCCACGGGAAGCCUCGGGAGACGCGCCCACCUCCCGAAGCAGUAGAGAAUGUGCUGGCGGGGCCCCGGCAGGGCUCAGGAGUUCACUUGGGCCCCCUCGCCAGCCCGGGUGGGGGCAGGAGGCGAAGCUGCAGAAAUGAGCUGCCGAUGGCUGCGUGCUGGGGCCCGGGGGUCUGGGCCACGUGGGCACAGAUAGCCUGAUGAGCGGCCUCCGGGGCCGGCCCUGCACAGGCUGGCAACCGGUGACAGAACAGAGGGACCGUUCCCAGGGGCACCACUCAGUCUGUACCAUCAAAAGAAAUCAAGGGUGAUGAGGGGCACCUGCCUGGGUGGCUCAGUCGGGUAAGUGUCUGAUUUUGGCCUAGGUCAUGAUUUCACGGUUUGUGAGUUCGAGCCCCGUGUCAGGCUCUGUGCUGACAGCUCAGAGGGCCCGGAGCCUGCCUCUGGUUCUGUGUCUCCCUCUCUCUGCCCCUCCCCUGUUCAUACUCUGUCUCUGUCUCUCUCUCUCAAAAAUAAGUUAAAUUUUAAGAAAUGGUGGACGACGACCUCCAGGCCAACUUGCCUCCACACUCUGGCGUUAGGGCACCUCAGAUGUAUAGCCUCAGCCGGACCUGGGUGUCCCCCGCCCCGUCUCGCUGUGCCCACUGGGCACUUCGGAUGUCCUGC
Long non-coding RNA from Suricata suricatta (meerkat), 2074 nucleotides. The record is from Ensembl. Lineage: Eukaryota; Metazoa; Chordata; Mammalia; Carnivora; Herpestidae.